Molecule: transfer RNA, 61 nt
Filed under: marine eukaryotic metagenome
Rfam family: tRNA
About the family: Transfer RNA (tRNA) molecules are approximately 80 nucleotides in length. Their secondary structure includes four short double-helical elements and three loops (D, anti-codon, and T loops).
Source: RNAcentral
GAUAGCUCAGCGGUAGAGCGGCCGGCUGUUAACCGGUAGGUCGUAGGUUCGAAUCCUACUC